GGGGGUGAUUUGGCUUUGAUUAGUUAUUAUAGAUUAUACAAUUCAGCACAGAGAGAUAACUGUUUAAAACUAAGGUGAAAUCAAGUAAUUGGAAACACAAAUAAUAGUGUAGUGUCUUUAGAAGAUAACGCACAAGUUGAAGCAAAUAUGAAUAUGGCUUUCUCUUUGAUUAGAGAAGAUGUUGCAGUUGCUGCCUAAACUAUUCGUGGGUUUUGUGUGUUACCCUUAUAAAUAAAUGCUCUGGUGGAUUCGUCAUAUUGAGAAAUCAGUUUGACCCUGUUCUAACAUAAAGAAUUGAAAGAGAUGUAUUCUAUAGUUAUUGUGAGAAUUAAAAUAAUACUGAUAACAUAAAGCUGUAUAAAAUUGUAUUUUUGAAGUAAUUAAGACCUGGAUUCGACUUCCAGCACCUCCACAG
Molecule: transfer-messenger RNA, 415 nt
Filed under: Bacteriophage sp.
Also listed under: 1 other name
Description: Phage Flavobacterium Standard tmRNA
Rfam family: transfer-messenger RNA
About the family: Bacterial tmRNA, also known as 10Sa RNA or SsrA, is named for its dual tRNA and mRNA-like properties. Its role is to liberate the mRNA from a stalled ribosome.
Source: RNAcentral